AUACAGAGGGUGCAAGCGUUAAUCGGAAUUACUGGGCGUAAAGGGCACGUAGGCGGUCAAGCAAGUUGGUGGUGAAAGCCCUCGGCUCAACCGAGGAAUUGCCCUCAAAACUGCUCGACUUGAGUCCCUGAGAGGGUGGCGGAAUUCCCAGUGUAGCGGUGAAAUGCGUAGAUAUUGGGAGGAACACCAGUGGCGAAGGCGGUCACCUGGACGGGUACUGACGCUGAGGUGCGAAAGCGUGGGGAGCAAACAGCAUUAGAAACCCCAGUAGUCC
RNAcentral lists this ribosomal RNA (274 nucleotides) under uncultured bacterium. RNAcentral describes it as "partial 16S ribosomal RNA". It matches the Rfam family "Bacterial small subunit ribosomal RNA", at positions 523 to 796 of the family's 1533-position model. The record is from RNAcentral.